Molecule: long non-coding RNA, 358 nt
Filed under: Mytilus galloprovincialis (Mediterranean mussel)
Lineage: Eukaryota; Metazoa; Mollusca; Bivalvia; Mytilida; Mytilidae
Source: RNAcentral
GCCUGUGUUACUUUCAUUGUCGAAUCGUCUGCAGCACAAACAAGAACAAAUUCUAUUUCAACGACCAAAAAAUAUGACAAGAAUAUCAGCAAUACCAUUACAAGAGGUACGAGCACAACAAGACUAAUUGUUUCGCAUUUUGAACAAAAACUCUUACACAGUGGUUUAGAUGGAUUAACCGAGGAUAUCGAAGGAACAUCGGACACCUCUUGACAUGUAAAACAAGUAUCACAACAUGUACAUUCACACCAAUCGUCUUCUUGAUGCGUUAGAUCACCAGGACAACAACGAAGGAUGCAACAAAAACAAUUCCUUUCACAAGAAAUACACCUACCGCAAGUGCAUUCGAAAACAUCAG